CUUCUAUGUUUUUCUCCUAUCGACAUGUUCUUUUUGUAGACGCCUUAUAUACUGCAGGUGUAUAGCGGGUCUGUACACGUGCCGGAUAUGCUUCCGCUGGUACCCGGGCGUGACAGCUAUCUUCUUGGAAAUAAUUGAAUGGUGAAGUUUUUUUUGACUGUCUAUGAUUUUGGAGACUUUGUGGAUGUGGAUUUAUAACAAAGUGGUUUUUUAUUAUUGGUAGUAGUCGGCUUUUUAAAAGAAUGAGUUUCCGUGUAGGAAAUAGUUUUCAAAUGGCUCUACAGAUUUAUUGAU
This 294-nucleotide long non-coding RNA is filed under the name Ananas comosus (pineapple). RNAcentral describes it as "long non-coding RNA (ACOM_LNC038401)". The record is from RNAcentral. Lineage: Eukaryota; Viridiplantae; Streptophyta; Magnoliopsida; Poales; Bromeliaceae.